Molecule: non-coding RNA, 3838 nt
Organism: Peromyscus maniculatus bairdii (prairie deer mouse)
Lineage: Eukaryota; Metazoa; Chordata; Mammalia; Rodentia; Cricetidae
Source: RefSeq, a predicted model, not a curated record
GUAAGUGCAGGAGGCCAGAAGAGGCCGUCAGACCCUCUGGAGCUGCAGUUACAGCAGGUGAGUUGCUGCUCUCAGAAACACGUGAAGAAACAUGGAACUCCUCAUGCUGACCAUGGGACAAACUGUGACGGCUGGCCGACUCAUCUGGAAAGGUCCCUGAGCCCUGAGGGGAAGGAUUUGAUGGAGACGUCCAAUUUAAGGCUGAGUGUUCCAAGGUCUCUCACUCUCUGUCAUGUCAGGCUGUGGAUCACUGUGUUUAUUUCCAUCUGUUGCAGGAGGGAGCUUCUCUGAUGAUGGCUGAACAAGGCACUGAUCUGAAGAAGUCUGCUGAGCAAGACCCAGAGCUGGUCAUUGUGCCUCCAGAUCUGGGGUCUCUGGGGACAACAGAGGACACACUGAUGGGAUGUGACAAAGAGGACUCAGAAUUCUAUUACUGAGCUCUGCAGAUGGCUGAGAACGCAGAUCCGAGAAGCCAUUGGGAUGGGGGAUGCUGAAGAAAGUGCUGGUUCUCUGCUUGUCUCUGCCAUGGCUCUGGCAAUAUCUUAAUUAAGUGUAGACUCAAGAUGAAAUAUGUGACCAGAUUCCAAAGUAGAAGACCUAUUUACAGAGGGAGACUUCUCAACACUCAAGAUUCCAUCUCUGAGCUUUUGUACUGUAGCAACAGGAUGCUAACUUGAACAUACCAUAGGAUGAUCUUGGAUACAGUGUUCCUAUUCCUGUCUGUGCUUGAAAACUCAACAUGCAUGACAAAUAUGUUUUGUCUCUCAUUGAGUUUUACUUUACUUUUAAACCAUUUCUGUUGAGUUCUUAAAAGCUGAGACAUGCAUUCUUGCCAGGAGCACAAGCUCUGAUUGAAGAAAUACUAGAUAUGACCAUUUCACACCACUGAAUGGGCAAUCCAGCAUGUAGAGGGAAUGCACCAUGGUAGUUCAAUGAAGCUGAGGCCCGCUGAAAAAUCCCACCAAACUGUGGUUGUAGACCAGCACAGGCCUUUAAAAGCCGUCCUUCCUGGCAAACCUGCCAGUCCUAGGCCUGACAUGAGGGAUAAGAUGGAAUUGACCAAUUCUCUUCCUCAAUUUCUAGGGAGGAUGCUCCUGAUAGGACGAGGAAGGAUAGGGAAGAACAGUAGAGGUGUGUGUGGGAUUCCUCUGGUUGGAGAUAUGGUGUGCAUCACAGUGUAGAAGAGUUUUAGUCCUGUGUGCCAGUCUCUGAGGAGGACUGCUGGCCUGGUCCUCUGGGUUAGAUUUCCCACUAUUCCUCAUGAGGUUUGUACCUCAUGAGAUGUGUGCUUGUAGCUGGUGAACUCUCUUGCAGGAGCAGUGGGAGCCAGGGAUGAAAUACUUCUAUGUAGACAAUUCUAGCCUCAAGACUAGGGCUCAAAGGAUGAGUGAGACCAGAAGCAACUAAACCCUAGCCAAUGCAUGAAUAAGAUCAUUCCAGUGUGUGGAGUCACACUGUAGCCUCCAAGGGUCAGUGUCUGUGUUGCAGUGUCUCAGUGUGACUGUUCCAGGAAGCAGUGCCAUUCUAUGUGUCUGGGCACCAUGCAUGGGAAGUGCAAGAGAAUGAACAUUCCAAGAUGAAGCCCUCAAUGGAUGGCUUCCUUAAUUUUAUUUGUUGGCAGUACUGAAUAUUGACAUCUUGAUUCUUAGGAAGUGCUUUAACCACUGAACAACACUCCCAAGCCCUCACUAGUGGAUUCCAGGCAGGGGCUCUACCACUGAAACAUGGCUCAAGCCUGCCACUGGUGGGUUCUAGCUAAACACUCUGCUAUUAAGCCACCUGUCCAUCCCUCCUUGUAUCUCUUAAUUGAGGAUCUUUCUAAGUUACCCAAGAUGUCCUGGAACUCACUCUGUAGCCUAGGCAGGUCUUAAACUUGUGAUCCUCCUUCUGUACUCUCCUUGGUUAGUCAAAGUUCUCUAAAGAAACACACACACACACACACACACACACACACACACACACACACACACACACACACACUGAUAGUUUUUCAAUCUACAAGGCUGGAUGUCUCAGCAGUCCCAAUCUGGUGCUGGAAUCCUGAAGAGUCACAGAUCUUCAGUCUGUGUUGGAACUCCAAAGAAAUUGCUUCUAAUAUUGGUGAUGGGAUGCCUCAGCCACAGGACAGAUGAACUUGCAGGCGAGGGUGACGACAAGCAGCCGAACAGCAAAGUUUCCCUUUUCCAUGUCCUUUUGUGGGCUGCAACUAGAAGGUGCUGCCCACAUUUAGGGUGAGUCUUCCUGCUUCAAAUAAUCUACUCAACAAAAUCCCUCACUGGAGUGCCAGCAGGGAUUUUGGUGGUUUUCAGAUAUAGUCAAGUUGACAACCAAGAGUUGUCAUCACAAAUCUACCCCUUGCCAAGUUGAUACAUGAUCAUAUCUCCUAUUUCACAUUUAAUUUCCACAUUAAAAAAUUAACCAGGGCACUAUUCUGCCUAACAUGAAAUAACUAUCCCACCUACAACCAUAAACACAUUAUAUACGUGCAUGCGUGUGUGUGUGUGUGUGUGUGUGUGUGUGUGUGUGUGCAUGCACACGCGCGUGCACAUGUGUGUAUGUGUAUUAGAAUAGGCAGCAAAAUCCCUUGAGGAAUGAUUAGUCUUUUAGUGUCUCAUAACUUAAAUGUGAUAAUACAGACUUACAACACUUAACCACUGAUAUUGCCUCAAUCAAUGUUACAUUAUGUAACAGAGAGGAAGAAAUUGCAAACAACUUAAUAUGUGUAUAUAUUCACAAACAUUUUUAAAGAAAGGACAGAACACUCAUGUCAAUUACAAUCUUCAUCCCUGCAGCUUGUCACAUGACCUUAGCUGGUAAUAUAACUACCCUCCUCUACUAUCCAUUCUGUGCUUCCUUUGCCCUCAGCCAGCACUUUAGUGCUUUCCCUGGGUGGCCUAUACCCUCAUCCCUGAAUGGUUCAGAUUCUUUGUCAUCCUGCCUGGAUUGAGUUAUUGUAGUUUCCCAUUGGCUCCCAUCAUUUCCAGAAUGGGAGACUUUGAAAUACACUUAGUGACAAACCAGUCUGUGGAAUUACAACUAAGUAAAGGCCCCUUCCACCUGAUUUCAGGCUCAAACUAUCCAAAAGCUUAGGAGAAUAAAGCAAGGAAACAUAAAAUGCUAAGUGAAGUCAACCUCUCAGCCAGAUGCUAACAAGGAUGGCAAGGUAACAAACACUUCAGCAGAGAUGCAGAAUUAGGGAGGAGAGAGGAGAAGGGAGGCAGUAAGGACCUUUCACACCAGCAGUGAAACUGAGGAGCAGCACAUUUUGAAUGCUACCAUGCCCUGCUAUCCUGGACUCUCCCACAAGUAUGGGCUCAUGGGCUAGCUUUGAAGAACUGGUCACCAUCACACUGUAUUUUUAAGUCUUCCAUUCUAAAAAAGAUGGAAGUCAAGUUCUCCUGGUUUACUUUCUGUUGCUGUGACCAAAAGCUUUCUGGGGAGAAAAAGGUGUAUUUCCUUUUACACUUCUAGAUCACAGUUUAUCAUCAAGGGAAGUCAGAACAGGGACCUGGAACAGAGGUCAAGGGAGAAUGCUGCUUACUGUUGUCUCAUUCAUUAGCUUGUGAUCAGUCAGCUUUCUUAUACACUCCAGGACCACCUGCCUAGGGAUGGUGGCACCCACAGUGGACUUGGCCCACUCAAAUCAAUCAUCAAUCAAAUCAAUGACACAAUGUCUCUCAGACAUAGCUAAAGGUCCAUGUGACAGAGGCUGUGCUAGUUUAAAUGUAUGGCCCCCAUAAUCUCAGGGAGUGGCAUUAUUAGGAGGUGUAGCUUUGUUAGAAUGGUAAUGACCUUGUUGAAGGAAGUGUGCCACUGUGGGGGCAGGCUAUGAGGUUUC